GAGAAACUUGAAGCAGCAUCUUCAUCUAGAAUUGAGGUGCCCAUGUGGACUCCAAAAUCCAGAUUUGAUAGUUCAAAGGCUUUUACAGGCUCUAUUGUGGAGCACUUGAGCAAUAUAGAGAAAAACUCACAAAACCAAACUGUGACCUCAUCACAGACACCUGUACGGGCUUCAAGACCAGGAUUCGACAGUUCCAAGUCUUUCACAAGUUCAAUAGUGGAGCAUAUUGACAACAUGCCAACUUCACAAGAGCAAACCGCGACUUCAUCACAGUCACCCAAUGCCCAU
This 288-nucleotide unclassified non-coding RNA is filed under the name Hevea brasiliensis (rubber tree). Lineage: Eukaryota; Viridiplantae; Streptophyta; Magnoliopsida; Malpighiales; Euphorbiaceae. The record is from RNAcentral.